RNAcentral lists this ribosomal RNA (309 nucleotides) under uncultured Wolbachia sp. RNAcentral describes it as "bacterial SSU rRNA". It matches the Rfam family "Bacterial small subunit ribosomal RNA", at positions 501 to 809 of the family's 1533-position model. The record is from RNAcentral. Lineage: Bacteria; Pseudomonadati; Pseudomonadota; Alphaproteobacteria; Rickettsiales; Anaplasmataceae.
CUCCGUGCCAGCAGCCGCGGUAAUACGGAGAGGGCUAGCGUUAUUCGGAAUUAUUGGGCGUAAAGAGCGCGUAGGCUGGUUAGUAAGUUAAAAGUGAAAUCCCAAGGCUCAACUUUGGAAUUGCUUUUAAAACUGCUAACCUAGAGAUUGAAAGAGGAUAGAGGAAUUCCUAGUGUAGAGGUGAAAUUCGUAAAUAUUAGGAGGAACACCAGUGGCGAAGGCGUCUAUCUGGUUCAAAUCUGACGCUGAGGCGCGAAGGCGUGGGGAGCAAACAGGAUUAGAUACCCUGGUAGUCCACGCUGUAAACGA